GCAACACAAAAAAAUAAUAAAAUAAAAUCAUUGAUAAAAUAAAAAUUUUAAUUCAUUUUUUAAUAAUUUUUUCAUUUCCUAUUUUCUUUCUCCUUCAAAAUGAAUAAAUAAGCCCAAAAUAAAACAAUAAAUAAAAAUAUAAUUUUGCCAUGUACAAUACAUGUUGUUGACUUUAUAUUUGACUAUAUAAGACCAACUAUUUUUUAAAAAAAAUUUUAAACAAAAAAAAUAAUGCGAAUUACAAACAUAAGUAAAUAAAACAUUGUUUAUCCUACUGUUUAUCUUCUUCCUGGUAGAAAGAUAAAGAAAAGAAAAGAAAAAAUAACCAAACUCAAACCCAGUAUUGAAAAUACAAUUAGAUCUUAAGAUUAGCUAAAUUGCAAAUGAUUUUCAAUGUAAACCACCGACAAUGACACCGAAAAUAGAAAAUUCAUAAAAACAAAAACAUCCAAAUCAAGACAUUAAGAAAUAUGCAGAAAAUAUUAAUAUCUAGAUCGAAAAUCCUCCUUCAACAAUGGUGGCACACUCUAAAAUCCUCCACUCCCAAGCCUCCUUCCCUCUCUUCAACGAACGCAAGCCUUCUUCCCUCUUAUUCUGCUUCCCUUGUACUUCAUCUCUACAAUACCAAAAAUCAUUCAAAGCCACUGAAACUUUUAAGUUUUGCCAGUAGUUACUGGCUACCCAAAAUUGAUAUCCACAGUACUUAAAUUCAUAUAAAACAAGUUAUUGAUUCUAAAAUUAUAGCUAAACUUCCUCAUUACCACAACCACCACCAUCACCAUCUUUAAACUUCCUUUGUCUUAGCUGUGAGUGGAUUUGAAAUUGGGAAGAACGCUGUAAAAAAAUUUGGGGAUAAAAAAGAUUGAGAUUAGAAAGAAACUGAGAGGGGCGUCGGCGAUUUCUUCUUUUGUCGGAGAAGGAGUCGACUAUGUUCAGUAGAUGAGGAAGAGGAAGUAGAAGUGUAAGGUUUCAGUCGAAAAGGGUUUCAAUCGGUCUGAUACAUGAGGGGGGAGAAGGAAGUGUAUAACAUUUGGCUCUUCUUUUGGAUUUGGGGAUUUGAAUGAGGGAUUUGGUAUUUGAGGGAUUUGGGAUCUUGUUGGAGGAGACAAAGGAUGAUGAGACAGAGGAUUUGGUAUUUUGAUUAUUUGUAUUAUUUAAAAUUAAAAUAAUUAAAAGAAAGGAAAAGGGAUAAAG
This 1194-nucleotide long non-coding RNA is filed under the name Panax ginseng (ginseng). RNAcentral's name for it is "long non-coding RNA (PGIN_LNC004665)". The record is from RNAcentral. Lineage: Eukaryota; Viridiplantae; Streptophyta; Magnoliopsida; Apiales; Araliaceae.